UAGGAAAAGGAGACAACAGAGGAUGAGAUAGUCGGAUGGCAUCAUCAAUUCAAUGGACAUGAGUUUGAGCUAAUUCCAGGAGAUACUGAAAAACAGGGAAGCCUGGUGUGCUGCAGUCCAUGGGGUCACAGCGUCAGACACACUGAGUGACAACAACAAAUGUUUGUUAGAAUUCACCUCUAAAGCCAUCUAGUCUUGAACUUUUAUUUAUUGGGAGUUUUUAAUCACAGUUUCAAUUUCAGUAUUUGUGGUCUGUACAUAUUUUCUAUUUCUUCAGUCUUGGGAGACUGUACCUUUCUAAGAAUUUUCCCAUAUCUUCAAGGUUGUCCUUUUAUUGGCAUAUUUGCCCAUAGUGAUCUCUUAUGAUCCUUUGCAUUUCUGUGGUGUCAAUUGUAACUUCUUUUAAUUUCUAAUUAUGUUGAUUUGAGCCCUCUCCCUUUAUUUUAUGAGUCUUCCUAAAUGUUUAUCAAUUUUGUUUAUGUUUUCAAAUAACCUGGUCUCACUUUCAUUGAUUUUUUCUAUCUUUUUUUGGUCAUUUCUAUUUAUUUCUGCUCUGAUCUUUAUGCUUUCUUCUUCUAACUUGGAAUUUUGUUUAUUCAUCUUUCUAGUUGCUUAAGUGUAAGAUUGUUUGUGAUUUUUCUUGUUUCCAGAGUUAAGAUUACAUUGCUAUAAACUUUCCUCUUAGAACUGCUUUUGCCACAUCCCAUUAGCUUGAAUCAUUAUACUUUUAUUUUCAUUUGUCUCUAGGUACUUUUUAUUUCCUCUUUCUUUGACUCAUUGGUUGUUUAAUCGUAUUGUUUAGCCUUCACAUGUUUGUGUGGUUUUUUUUUUCUUGUAGUUUAAUCUUGUGGUUGGAAAAGUUGCUUGGUGGGAUUUCAAUUUUCUUAAAUUUACUGACACUAGCUUUGUGCUCAGCAUGUGGUCAAUUCUGGAGAAUGUUCUAUGUGCAUUUGAGAAGUAUGUGCAUUCUGCUGCUUUUGGACAGAAUGCUUUAUAAAUAUCAAUUAGUCUAUCUAGUCUAACCUUGAUAGAAUUUCUUAGGCAGGUGGAUAAGGAGUCCACAGGCCCAGUCAUGUAGUCAUACAUAUCCUAGAAUUUAUGGCUGUUUUGAAUUUUCGGCCAUUCACCCACAUCAGAAAUAGGAGCUAGGGAGCUGGUUAAUUUGUAACAUUGGAGUCAUAGGAAAAAGUUACUGGAUGUUGUCAGGUGACCGGCCUUUGUCACAAGAUCUAAGGGAGACAAACUGACCUAAUGAAUCUUAUGCCAAAACUAUUUGUAGUAUAACAGGUCAAAAGGUAUAUAGAACAUCUUAAAAGCUGUAUGUGGGUCUCUUCCUACCCUUCUGGUGUCUGGGCUAGAAGCUGUCCCUAUACUUCCUGACUUUUACUAAAGCUUUACACUCCUGCAAAGACCUGAGCAACUGUUCCUUUGGUUCCAGAGAGAAUUUUUUCCUUGGAAGACUACAGACCCAUACCCAACACAGAAUGUGGUAGAACAAUGUGCCAUUUAAGGCUUGCACUUCCUUAUUGAUUUUCUGUCUAGAUGAUCUGUCCAUUGACGAAAAGUAGGAUGUUUAAGUUCCCACUAUUACUGUCUUACUGUUGAUUUCUCCUUUUACGGCUUAGUAUUUGCCUUAUAUUUUGGGGUGCUUUUAUGUUGGGUGCAUAUAUUGAUUGAUAUAUCAUCUUCUUGGAUUGAUUUCUUGAUCAUUAUAUAGUGUCUUUGUUUAUCUCUUGUAACAUCUUCAUUCCAGUAUAUUUUAUCUGAGUAUUGCUAUUCCAGCUUUCUUGGGAUUUCCAUUUGCAUGGAAUGCCUUUUUCCUUCCCUCACUUUCAGUCUGUAUCUGUCCCUAGAUCUAAAGUGGGUCUCUUGUAGAUAGCACAUAUGUGGGUCUUGUUUUUGCAUCCAUGCAGCCAGUCUAUGUCUUUUGGUUGGAGCCUUUAAUUCACUUACAUUUAAGGUAAUUUUCAGUGUGUGUUCCUACUGUCAUUUUCUUAUUUGGAUUUGUUUUUAUAGGUCUUUUUCCCUUCCUUUUUCACUCUGUUCUCUUGUGAUUUGAUGAUUUAGUGUUGUGUUUGAAAUCAUUUUUCUCUAUGUAACUUUCAGACUUUUGAUUUGCAGUGACCAUGAGGAUUUGGUAUAGCGGACUAUAUGUAAAUAAGAUUGUUUUAAGUUGCUGGUUGUUUAACUUCAAAUAUUUUCCAAUAUCCUGUAUUUGUGCUCUCCUCACACUGCUAGUUUUGGUAUCUAUAUCAGAACUAGCAGUGUGAUGGGGAGAAGGCGACGGCACCCCACUCCAGUACUCUCGCCUGGAAAAUCCCAGACGGAGGAGCCUGGUGGGCUGCAGUCUAUGGGGUCACUAAGAGUUGGACAUGACUGAGCAACUUCAUUUUCACUUUUCACUUUCAUGCUUUGGAGAAGGAAAUGGCAACCCACUCCAGUGUUCUUGCCUGGAGAAUCCUAGGGACGGAGGAGCCUGGUGGGCUGCCAUCUAUGGGGUUGCACAGAGUCGGACAUGACUGACGUGACUUAGCAGCAGCAGCAGCAGCAAUGUGAGGGGAACCACGAUGGUGUGAUCACUCACCUAGAGCCAGACCACCUGGAAUGUGAAGUCAAGUGGGCCUUAGGAAGCAUCACCACGAACAAAGCUAAUGGAGGUAAUGAAAUUCCAGCUGAACUAUUUCAAAUCCUAAAAGUUGAUGCUAUUAAAGUGCUGCACUCAGUAUGCCAGCAAAUUUGGAAAACUCAGUAGUGGCCACAGGACUGGAAAAGCUCAGUUUUCAUUCCAAUCCCAAAGAAAGGCAAUGCCAAAGAAUGUUCAAAUUACCACACAACUGUACUCAUCUCACACACUAGCAAAGUAAUGCUCAAAGUUCUCCAAGCAAGGUUUUAACAGUACAUGAACCAAGAACUUCCAGAUGGUCAGCUGGAUUUAGAAAAGGCAGUGGAGAUUCCUUAAAAAACUGGAAAUAGAACUGCCUUAUGAUCCAGCAA
Long non-coding RNA from Bos taurus (domestic cattle), 2994 nucleotides. The record is from Ensembl. Lineage: Eukaryota; Metazoa; Chordata; Mammalia; Artiodactyla; Bovidae.